This is a long non-coding RNA of Vicia villosa (hairy vetch), 833 nucleotides long. RefSeq lists it as uncharacterized. The record is from RefSeq and is a predicted model, not a curated record. The transcript has 3 exons. NCBI's taxonomy places the organism in Eukaryota, Viridiplantae, Streptophyta, Magnoliopsida, Fabales, Fabaceae.
AUGGGAAUUCCUUCCCCCUUUUAAACGAAAACCCUAAAUAAUUUUUUCACAUGAUGUUUCCAAACAGCAGAAUAAACGUUGCGCCGCUCAGUUACAAACAAACACUGCGCCGCUCAGUUCCAAACAAACGUUGUCCCUCAUUGAACCGCGUCCGAUUCUGUUUCAGACCACAGUCCUGACGACGGACCUGCCACUGCCAAACGCUACGCUGGCCACCCUCGUCGUCGAUUUCACCUGCCGGCACAGACACCGCUGCGAACCCUUCCGGGAUCUCCAUGCCUAGCUGCGACCCUCUCUGUCCCUUUCCGACGACGUGAAAUCUACCAUCACUGGCGGCGGAAACCACCACCAGCCUUCGUCUCUUUCUUUCCUUCUCACGUGAUACUAUUAUCUCGCCAAACUGCACCGUACUCUCUCCUUCUCUCAAUUGCGAUUUCAUGUUCUACGUCGCGAUUGGUUCCCGCACUAGAGUCGAUUUACAAGAUUUCUCUUCAACAUCAAAGCCACUAAGGUAUUUUCCUUUUCAAGUGCAUUUUUUAGAGGGGUAACCGAUCUUAUAUCGCCAUCCUAGUUGAAUUUAAAUUGCAGGUUGUCUGAAAAAGCUCUUGAAGAUGAUGGUCUGGUAGACUCCAUCAUAUAUGACUUCCAUUACAAACUAGCUUAUUAUUUUCUGUCACUGAAACAAUUUAGAUGAGGACCAUGCUAGUAUAGAGCAAGAACUAAUAAUGAUAUUGGUGUUGAUUUAUUUUGAUUCAUAGGUUGAUGUAGAUAUUUUCUGGAUCGAUUAAUCUAUUAUAUGGUUAAAAGCCGUCUGAAUCUUGUUUGUUGACUAA